ACGGGGAUUGCUUAUUGCACCACAUGUGUUUUUUAUUGAACAAAUUUCUUUGGUGGCGGGAGCAAUCCUACCGCCAGAGGUUAUAACUAAACCAAACUUUUUAUUUACAGUCAAACUUGAUUUAUUAUUACAAUAGUCAAAACUUUCAACAACGGAUCUCUUGGUUCUCGCAUCGAUGAAGAACGCAGCGAAAUGCGAUACGUAAUAUGAAUUGCAGAUAUUCGUGAAUCAUCGAAUCUUUGAACGCACAUUGCGCCCUUUGGUAUUCCAAAGGGCAUGCCUGUUUGAGCGUCAUUUCUCCCUCAAACCCCCGGGUUUGGUGUUGAGCAAUACGCUAGGUUUGUUUGAAAGAAUUUAACGUGGAAACUUAUUUUAAGCGACUUAGGUUUAUCCAAAAACGCUUAUUUUGCUAGUGGCCACCACAAUUUAUUUCAUAACUUUGACCUCAAAUCAGGUAGGACUACCCGCUGAACUUAAGCAUAUCAAUAAGCGGAGGAA
RNAcentral lists this ribosomal RNA (498 nucleotides) under Candida tropicalis. RNAcentral describes it as "eukaryotic LSU rRNA". The stretch from base 141 to 294 matches the Rfam family "5.8S ribosomal RNA". The record is from RNAcentral. Lineage: Eukaryota; Fungi; Ascomycota; Pichiomycetes; Serinales; Debaryomycetaceae.